AUUUAAAUAGUGUAAAAAACACAUAACAUUUUCGUUGUUAAAUUCCUUUGGGUUUAAAUU
RNAcentral lists this transfer RNA (60 nucleotides) under Dermacentor auratus. RNAcentral's name for it is "tRNA-Glu". The record is from RNAcentral. Lineage: Eukaryota; Metazoa; Arthropoda; Arachnida; Ixodida; Ixodidae.